GAUGAACGCUAGCUACAGGCUUAACACAUGCAAGUCGCAGGGUAACAUGAGGAAAGCUUGCUUUCCUUGAUGACGACUGGCGCACGGGUGAGUAACGCGUAUCCAACCUUCCCAUAACUACGGGAUAACCCGUUGAAAGACGGCCUAAUACCGUAUGAUAUCGUUUGCUGACAUCAAAUAACGAUUAAAGGUUUAGCGGUUAUGGAUGGGGAUGCGUCUGAUUAGCUUGUUGGCGGGGUAACGGCCCACCAAGGCGACGAUCAGUAGGGGUUCUGAGAGGAAGGUCCCCCACAUUGGAACUGAGACACGGUCCAAACUCCUACGGGAGGCAGCAGUGAGGAAUAUUGGUCAAUGGGCGAGAGCCUGAACCAGCCAAGUAGCGUGCAGGACGACGGCCCUAUGGGUUGUAAACUGCUUUUAUGGGGGGAUAAAGUGCGUGACGUGUCAUGCAUUGCAGGUACCACAUGAAUAAGGACCGGCUAAUUCCGUG
RNAcentral lists this ribosomal RNA (490 nucleotides) under uncultured bacterium. RNAcentral's name for it is "partial 16S ribosomal RNA". It matches the Rfam family "Bacterial small subunit ribosomal RNA", at positions 28 to 507 of the family's 1533-position model. The record is from RNAcentral.